UUUCUUUAUUAGCAAAAACUUUAUAAUUUUAUAUUUACAAAAUUAUUCUUGUGAUGCCGCUAAUCUUAUCAUUCCGACCCUAUCUCAGUCGAGACUCAUCUCACACACCGAUACCAACUGUGCCGUCCCAACUUUUCAGGGAUCACCUAUCCUAAGACUACUUCCGUUCUAAUAUGCUUAACUCUCUUAUCCUCUUGGACCUUGCCACUAUCCAAAAUGCUUAAGUCAGAUUAAGAAUUUAAUCCUACUAUAUCGUUCUUAUAUGUAGGACUACUUGGGAUCUCAUAAUUCUAAUAUAUGUAAAAAAAAAAUAUUACUUAUAAAUUUUUACUUCUUUCUCUCUAAAAUUUAUUUUCAAUAACACUAUAUUUAUAAGAAAAAAAAUU
This 386-nucleotide long non-coding RNA is filed under the name Ananas comosus (pineapple). RNAcentral's name for it is "long non-coding RNA (ACOM_LNC012578)". The record is from RNAcentral. Lineage: Eukaryota; Viridiplantae; Streptophyta; Magnoliopsida; Poales; Bromeliaceae.